Non-coding RNA from Mycena polygramma, 92 nucleotides. The record is from the annotation of a GenBank genome assembly. Lineage: Eukaryota; Fungi; Basidiomycota; Agaricomycetes; Agaricales; Mycenaceae.
GGUUCAGUGGUGGAUGGUCCACGUCCGCGCUACUUGCAAAAUAUGUGCUAUUUUGAAAGCGCAAGGCGCCUGUUCGAUUCGGGCCUGAGCUA